UACAUGUGGGGCAAGCGUUGUUCGGAAUUACUGGGCAUAAAGGGUGCGUAGGUGGUUUGUUAAGUCAGGGGCGAAAUCCCGCGGCCCAACCGUGGAACUGCCUUUGAUACUGGCGAACUUGAGUGCGUGAGGGGUAGGGGGAACGAGCAGUGUAGCGGUGAAAUGCGCAGAUAUCGGGAGGAACACCCGUAGCGAAGGCGGCACUCUGGGCCGGAACUGACGCUGAGGAGCGAAAGCGUGGGGAGCAAACAGG
Molecule: ribosomal RNA, 253 nt
Filed under: uncultured prokaryote
Description: partial 16S ribosomal RNA
Rfam family: Bacterial small subunit ribosomal RNA
Source: RNAcentral